GGAAGGGCGACCGACCGUGGGGAGGAAGCGUGGAUCGCAACUGCGGGCCGAUGGACAAGAACCGGAUAUGAGGCGGUGCCGACCAGGGCGAGCGGGCAACGAACGGCGAAGUAAAUCCGGCGGUCGUGCAGUGAAGGAGUGCGUC
Molecule: non-coding RNA, 145 nt
Filed under: Rhizobium mongolense USDA 1844
Lineage: Bacteria; Pseudomonadati; Pseudomonadota; Alphaproteobacteria; Hyphomicrobiales; Rhizobiaceae
Source: RNAcentral